Molecule: ribosomal RNA, 253 nt
Filed under: uncultured bacterium
Lineage: Bacteria
Description: partial 16S ribosomal RNA
Rfam family: Bacterial small subunit ribosomal RNA
Source: RNAcentral
UACGAAGGGGGCUAGCGUUGCUCGGAAUCACUGGGCGUAAAGCGCACGUAGGCGGACUUUUAAGUCGGAGGUGAAAUCCCCGAGCUCAACUCGGGAACUGCCUAGGAGACCUCAGUACUAGAGUACUGAAGGGGUUACUGGAAUUCCAUGUGUAGCGGUGAAAUGCGUAGAUAUAUGGAGGAACACCUGUGGCGAAGGCGGGUAACUGGUCAGAGACUGACGCUGAGAAACGAAAGCGUGGGGAGCAAACAGG